UGGUGGAGUGAUUUGUCUGGUUAAUUCCGUUAACGAACGAGACCUCAGCCUGCUAACUAGUCGUGCUUAUCCUUUGUCGCUGAUGGUUUCUUCGGAAAUUCGGACGCGGCAGCUUCAGGAUAGGCUGAUGUUUUCUCCUUAAUGGCCUUCCCGGUUUGUUUUGGAGAGCAUCGUGCAACUUCUUAGAGGGACUAUCCGUGUGUAGCGGAUGGAAGUUUGAGGCAAUAACA
Molecule: ribosomal RNA, 230 nt
Filed under: uncultured eukaryote
Lineage: Eukaryota
Description: partial 18S ribosomal RNA
Rfam family: Eukaryotic small subunit ribosomal RNA
Source: RNAcentral